This 22-nucleotide unclassified non-coding RNA is filed under the name Mus musculus (house mouse). RNAcentral's name for it is "oocyte_clustered_small_RNA8955". The record is from RNAcentral. Lineage: Eukaryota; Metazoa; Chordata; Mammalia; Rodentia; Muridae.
UGCCAAACCAAUACCAGCGUGA